Molecule: long non-coding RNA, 20364 nt
Filed under: Triticum aestivum (bread wheat)
Lineage: Eukaryota; Viridiplantae; Streptophyta; Magnoliopsida; Poales; Poaceae
Description: long non-coding RNA (TAES_LNC027237)
Source: RNAcentral
CCCUUGCUACUCAUGCCCUAGACCAGACAAGGGGAUCAUGGAGUCUGAUCCCUAGUGAACUUCCUUACUGCUGCUCCUUUAUCUUCAACCUGCUGCUGCUCUUCUUUCCCCACGCCACUGCUGCUGCUCCUCUGCUUAAAACUGCUGCUUCUUCUCUCCCGCGCCACUUGUUGUUCCUCACUAGCUGAACCUCUGAUCUGAACCUCUUCCUUCCGCUGCUUCCCUACUUCUUCUCUGAAUCUCCCAAACGCUGCUGCUGCUACCUGCUCUCAAGCGUCCACUUACUGCUCAGUUUCAGACUUGUGUUCCUGUAGUGUUAAAUCGGUCAUAUGUGAAUGGUGUUGGGGCAUGUGACUCUAUGUUCUUGUAUGUGUUAAUUAGUUAAAUUUUUCACUUGAGUACUGCACUUGCUGCAUAGUCGUGUUUGUUCAAUUUAUAGUUCCUGUGUUGCUCAAGUACCUGUGAUAUAUGAUUGUGCAUGUGUGUGUUUGAUUUGAAACAAUUAUAUUCUAUCAUAUAUUGUCGCUUCUUCCUACUGUCAUAUGUUUGAUACUAAUGUGUCCUCGUCUUCUAGGUUUUCUUGAUAUUGACUCCUGUUUGUGUUAGUACCUUAAUUUCUCAAGUAUUACAAAAAUACCAAAAAGAAAGUUAGUAAAAUCUGAAUCUGCCUUUGCUUAUUUUACAUUUUCUUUGGCGACGAUCUUCGGGAACUACCUUGUUUAGGUUAGGUUUUAUUUUCUGUUUUCGUCAUCAAAUAUCGUGUCACCUAGCUUUAGCCGACCAUAGUUGCUGUCGCCUAGUCCCUGUGGAGUACAAGACACUCGCAGUUUGGGCGUAAAAUCCCACUGGUCUUACAAUUGAUCAUUUUGGCACCGUUGCCGGGGACUAGUGUCGAGUGACCGUGUUAGGCUAUAGACUAGGUUUUUCUUCUUUUUCUAUUUUGUGCCAUAUAUUUGUGAUAAAUCUCUAACUCCUAACCCUUGUUCCAGAUUAUUUCCUCUUUGUUUUCUUUUCCUUUGCAGGUUAGAACCAUCUUCUCGGAUAUGGCUUACUAUUCAGAUCAUCAUGCUUAUGCGAGCAACACUACAAAUAGCACGGAAAGUAUUCAAGAACUGAUAAGUAAGAUUUCCCAUCAAUUAGAUGAUUUAGCUCGACAGCGAGAGGUAGUUUUUGAGGAUAGGCCUAGCUCUUAUGAUCCUUAUUCUAGAGGUCAUCCUUAUGUUGCUCCUACAUGCCAUAUUUGUGGAUUUCAGGGCCAUUCACCCGCUGAAUGUCAGCGUGGUUACUCUCACCCUCCCGAUUGUUAUGGCAUGAGCUUCGCCCCAUAGCCUAGCUCAUACCAAAACAAUUACACACAUGGGUGGCCUGAAAGCCAGAAUAUGUCAUAUAGGAGCAAUAACCCUGAGAUCUCAUCGUUUGCCUCUAGUUAUCCAAUGUAGGGAUUUAGGUAUGAAGAGGAGAUCCACAACUAUGCUCCACAACAGAUUUAUUCAGCUCCUACUCAUAUACCUCAACACCAGGACAUGUUGCCAAUGGAGUUAAAUGGUCCUCCAUUUGGUCAACCAACAUCUUCAACACAAGUGCCCACACAAGAUGACUUUGAUGAUAUAGACAAGCUCACAUUGCUUGGUCUCGAGUUCACUUGGAGUGCGAAGAUGAUCCAAUUAGGCCGGUGAUACUAGAGGAAAUGAAGAAGAGUAAGAGUGGAAAGGAGCUAGUGGAAGAAGUAAGGAGGAUUGAGAAGAACAUCAACACUGGCAGUACUAUAUCAUCACAGUUUGAGUUGAGUGUGGCUGAGAUAUCCAUUGAUACAUGUGACGUUCCAACACCUUCACAUUCAGCUGAGCAAGAUAGCGAGAGUCCAGAGGAAGAGAUACUUCAGAUCCAAGAAGAAAUUCUCGAAGCCAAGGCACAAGAUGAUCCAGAGCUCGAACAACAAAGUGAACAAGUUGAAGAUCCAAUGUCUACCACUCCCGAAGAAGUAAAAGAAGAUGUUGUAGAUGAAGAUGAAGAACCUGAGAUUCAUUUGCCUAUUGUCAUACCCGAGCGUGAUGUGUCAGGUUUAUCUAAUACUCUUAAUGACAUGUCUUCAUAUGAUUUAUUUGCUUCUACCUUGCAUUACAUGAUGCCAUCACUUAAGAUUGAUUUGAAAAAUCAUUUACUUGGAUAUGAUGAUACAUACACUGUUGGUGGCAUUGCUCUCAUUUGUGAUGAUCACAAUUACUUUCCUCAUGCUAGUCUUGAGCUUAAUGAUAAAUGUCAUCCUUGUGUGAGUAUUGACCAUGCUGAUUUCUGCCAUCCUAAACAUGUGCUUUAUAGUUAUGCUUAUAUAAUUGGAUAUUCCAUUGAUGACUUGGAGGGCAUUGACCGUAUCACUUGUAGUUGUUUGUGUGAGUCCUAUUUCAGGCUUUUGCUACUGCACUGUUUACUACAUGCUGACCAGGUUCGAGGUGACAUUCCUUGGGAUCCUGGUGGAGUCAAAGCAUGGCGAUGAGGAGAAGCAAUGGGGCACUCAUAUGGAAGAGUGAAGCUGGAGCAUCCAUGAGGAAGCAAGGGAGAAGAGCUGCAGCUGGUGAGGUGAUCGAGCGAGUGCUACAUGAUCAAAGCCCGGUGAGAUGUUUCAUGACCCAUUCUGAAUAUCAUAAAUACAUGCUGAAUUCAAUUGCUAGUUGGGUUGCUUGAGCUAGUUAUUACUUGUUGUCAAGCUGAAAUUCACCUUUGGCAUUGUGCUUGAUGUGAAUUUGUGAACUUGAUUUCUGAAUGCCUUGUAAACUAGUGAUCUACACCAUGCAUGCUUUGCUGAAAUUUGUGGAAGUUAUUAGUUUUGAGUGCUCAAAUCCCUAGUACACUAGAAAACCUGAUCAUUUUCUGCUUUUACCUUGAUACACCUAGAUCACCAUGUUUAGAUGCUGAAUUUGUGCUAAGUGUGUUCCCAUUGAGAGCAAUCACCUAACCACUAUGGAUUAGCAUGCUAUGUUCCCUGGAUCGGUAGCAUGUGAACCGGACAUGGAGAAGUGAUGAUUCCUGUUUUUGUGCUUAUGCGUUGUUCAUUUAAGAUAAGUAAUAUUUAAUAAAUAAGUCUGGUCUACCUACAGUAGCAUGUCAUGUUCCCUGGAUCGGUGGCAUGUGAAAUCUGGUAGCUUGGACAGUAAUAAAUAAAUAAAAAUGUAAUUGUCAAACCAGGUGUAUACCAUGUUCUCGGGAUCGGUGGUAUGUUCCUUUGGGGAGACAAACAAAAAAACUAAUAAUUGGUCGAGCCAGGUGUAUACCAUGUUCUCGGGAUCGGUGGUAUGUUCCUAUGGUGAGACUAAUAAUAAUACAAUCAUUGCUUUAUCUCUAUAAAUAAGUGAUUUGAUCACAAGAUUUAAUUCCAGUUCAUUUUGUUCUUGGGAUCAUGCUCUCUUUAGGAACCAUUUGGCACAGUCAUCAUUUAAACUUGUCGAUCCUCUUUUAUCAUUGUAAAAGUUUAAAAUGGUCAUGCUUACUAGUUUUCUAUUGCUCUGUAGCACUCUUAACCAUUGAUUUUCACUAGUUAAGUCCAAAGCAUGCUUUGUUUGGAGAUCUACUUCACUAGGACAUUCUCCAGUUAGCUCACUGUUCAUUAUCUAGCUCUUGUCAUAUUCCUUUGCUUGAGGACAAGCAAAAGUUUAAGUGUGGGGGAACUUGAUAAGCACAUUUCAUAUACAUAAUUUUGGCAUUGAAUUAUACCAUUCGUCGAGUUAUGCCCAUCUAUUCUUGCUACGUUUAGUUGAAUAUUUGCAUGAAAAUCAUAUAAUGAAUCAUUUACUAGUCAUUGUGUUUCUUUUGCAGAAAAGUGUGACACUCCAAAAUUUCUAUUUGGUUUUUAUCAAAAACUUUGUGGUUUUGAGGAGAGACCUUUUUAAAAAAAAAAUCCAGAAAAACCUUACUCUUAAAAACCUCCUUUUGCCUUGGCAAGGAUUUUAUUUCUUUCAAACUUUGGUGGUUUAUCUUUUGCAAACUUCUUCUCUGUUAGUUCCCUCUAAAAAUUUUUUUUGGCAGUUUUAAUUUGUUUUAUUUUUAAGUGAAGCUCUAUGAAAAUUUGGGAUUUUCUUAUCUUUGAAGCCACCCUUGGCUUUGUAUUUUUUUGCCCAUGAGAUAAAACCCCUCCAAAACCUCCCAUCCCCCUUGUGAUCAUCCUAAGUUCUCUGUCCCAACUAAUCCAAACUGGUUUUGGAUUUUAUUCUAAUUAUUUCUCCCCCUCAAAUCAAUUCUGAAAAUUAUUUGGAGCCUGAGGGAUUUUCAAAGCAAGUACCCUUUUUCAUUUGAGUUUUGACCUCAAACCAAUUCCCCUGGAUUGUCCUUUGAACCCACAACCCAGAACCAUCUUGAUCCACUCCUCCUCUUUUCAAAUUUUUCAAAAUACAGUCUCUGCAAGUUUGGACCAGAUUUGCCAAAUUUGGUGAAAUUCAUAUCCACACUGCUCCAAAAAUUCCACCAAAAAUCAUGCAGCCUACUUGAGCAAGGAGAAGCCACUCCACCAAAAAUCAGCUCAAGGAAAAAUCACCAGAGGCCAAUUUCAUUCGGUCGAACACCUUGUGGGCACUGUUACUGUUCAAAGUUCAGAAAAUUCAGUUUCAGUGUCAUCUUCUGUCCGUCAGUUUCAGUCACGCGGCCACAGUGCCCUUGGCACGUUCCUCGCGGCCUCUUCCUCUUGUCCGAAGCUUCACACGCGUGCGUGGAGCCUUCCUGGCGUUGGUAGCGCGCUGGCUCGCCCUCGCCGGCGUCUUCUGCGGCGUCGGGACCUCCCGUGGCGGCCGACAGGAGGCACACCACGGCAGAACGCCGUUCCGCGCCGCCCAUCGCUCCCUGGCUCUCCGCGUGGCCUCAUGCACGCCAGCGCACGCCCGUAGCACAGCCACCGUGGCUGGCAAGCACGGAACGCGCUCUCCGCCGCCAACGGGCCCGCGCCAUCCCCGUUCCGUCGAGCUCGCCCUUAACACCCAAACCCCGGCCAGUUUAACACCAAAACGGACCCAUUGAACCUCCGUGAUGACGCUCGACCCCCUAACCACCCCGACCAAGCACUGCGCCACCGUAAUCACUCGCCGGUGAUCCUCGUUCACGGCAACCGCCUCGGACCGCCUAUAUAAAGGGGUCCCGAGCUCACUCUCGUGCAUGCAGCACCUCCACUACUCAGCAACACCCCGCCAGGCCACUAGGGGGACCUCGAGGAGGUCUCCUCCCCCAGCUCCGGCCGCCUCGCUCCGCCUCGGCCUCUAGCCCGAUUCAUUCUGGUGAGGCCAUCUCCGGCGCUCAAACCCCGUUCGUUACCCUCUCUAGCUGCCAGGAGCAUAACCCCCUCUUCAAUUUAACCUUUGCAGCCCUCUCCGAUGAGCCCCUCGACCACCCGAGCCUCCGUCCGCCGGAGCAGAGCUCGCCGUUGACGUGGUGCUCGCCGACAGACUCCACCACCAUCAACUGACGCGGAAGGGUGCCCUGAGCACGGAGGUACUCUCCGAUCUCUCUGCCUCGCCGUGGAUCGCCGCCGGCGACCACCGCGGCUCUCGGGCGCCGGCGAACUCUGCCGCCCCGUUUGAACAUUUGAACCUGACGGGUGGGACCCCACCGUCAGCCUCUCUGCUCUCUCUUUCGAAUCGUUUUCUGGAAGCGCCUUCGAGCAGAAUGCGUUUUCUCUUUGGGCUGGCGUAGUCGCUACCGAAGCGUUUUCUGUUUAUAUAAACUAGCCCCUGGAAAUCUUCUGUUUCAUUACAGAUAAGUCCCUGGACAAAAACCCUUAUAACUUUUAAUCAGAAAAGUAUUUUUGAUUGAUUCUUUUUCUGUUCUCUUUAAAAUUUUGUCUAUUUUUUUAUCAGAUUUAUUUGAAAAAUAUUUGGUUUACCUUCUGUGCAUUCCUUGGUAUUUACGUUAGCGCAUAUAUUUUCUUUAAACCAUAGAUACCGAAGGAGGUGACGGAGCCGCGAACUUCACCGAGCUAGGCUCCGACUACUCUGAACCAGGCAAGCAUGUUUGAACUUUUGAUAUGAUGAGUGUCUUGGCAUGUUUUGCAUUUAGUUAGUUUCAUGGCAUGUUGGUGAGCAUACAGAUGAACGUUAUUUUAUGUGAUAAUGAGGUAAGUGAGUUCGAUGAUCCAUGCGUGGAUGAAUGUGAAUAUGAAUGGCCAUGUGUUGGCAUGAGGAUGGGUACGAUGGCAGUGUUGUAGCAUGCCAGUCUUACGCCAGACUAAGUGACUUCAGUGUCAAACCAUAUCGGUCCAGUACCUAUCAUUUCCUUCCUUGUACUACCACAUGUUUUCCGCAAGGAAUAUGGUUUAGUAAGUUGCAAACCGCUUUCAUGGUACACACCAAAGAGGAGAGGCCGUGAUGAUGGUUCCAUGGCCCUGGAUUAAAGCCAGUCAUCCGGUCAGAGGGCAUGGGUGUUUCCGGUUGGGACCGAGAGGGGGGCACCCCUUAGAGCGCGCGUAUAUAAAUUUGAUCCCAUGCUAUUCGAGAUUGUGAUCUCCCCGUCUCAAAAGUUUUUCUUGGACGAUGACUAGGGUGAUUCCUAGCAUCGAGAGGUAGGAUGGGUGUGUACUGGUUAGCUGUGUUUUCUUCCGAAAUACCGUAAACGGAACUAGUCCUUCGUGACUACGGAAAUCCGUUGGCUGUGGGAAAAAUUUUGUACAAACUCUGCAGAGUCAUAUAUUUCUCCAAAUCAUCUAUUCCUUGUCAAGUUUCGUUCCAUCUUAUCCUAAUCAAUUGUCAGCUUUGAUGACAGAGACUCCGGUGAAUCGCAUGAGUGCUAAGUCCGGUUGAAUGAUUAUCCCUGUGGAUGGACUAACCCGUUUAUUCUCAUGGAUUGAAUGUUUAUUAUGAGUAUUAUUUACUGGUGAAUUUAAAGUCCUUUCUGCGAUGUCGCUCAGACGUCCGACUGUGGCAUUUAAUUUAAAGCCCUUUCUGCGAUGUCGCUCAGACGUCCGACUGUGGCAUUUAAUUUAAAGCCCUUUCUGCGAUGUCGCUCAGACGUCCGACUGUGGCAUUUCUUUUAAAGCCCUUUCUGCGAUGUUGCUCAGACGUCCGACUGUGGCAUUUCUUUUNNNNNNNNNNUUUUGAUAUGAUGAGUGUCUUGGCAUGUUUUGCAUUUAGUUAGUUUCAUGGCAUGUUGGUGAGCAUACCGAUGAACGUUAUUUUAUGUGAUAAUAAGGUGAGUGAGUUCAAUGAUCCAUACGUGGAUGAAUGUGAAUAUGAAUGGCCAUGUGUUGGCAUGAGGAUGGGUACGAUGGCAGUGUUGUAGCAUGCCAGUCUUACGCCAGACUAUGUGACUUCAGUGUCAAACCAUAUCGGUCCAGUACCUAUCAUUUCCUUCCUUGUACUACCACAUGUUUUCCGCAAGGAAUAUGGUUUAGUAAGUUGCAAACCGCUUUCAUGGUACACACCAAAGAGGAGAGGCCGUGAUGAUGGUUCCAUGGCCCUGGAUUAAAGCCAGUCAUCCGGUCAGGGGGCAUGGGUGUUUCCGGUUGGGACCGAGAGGGGGGCACCCCUUAGAGCGCGCGUAUAUAAAUUUGAUCCCAUGCUAUUCGAGAUUGUGAUCUCCCCGUCUUAAAAGUUUUUCUUGGACGAUGACUAGGGUGAUUCCUAGCAUCGAGAGGUAGGAUGGGUGUGUACCGGUUAGCUGUGUUUUCUUCCGAAAUACCAUAAACGGAACUAGUCCUUCGUGACUACGGAAAUCCGUUGGCUGUGGGAAAAAUUUUGUACAAACUCUGCAGAGUCAUAUAUUCCUCCAAAUCAUCUCUUCCAUGUCAAGUUUCGUUCCAUCUUAUCCUAAUCAAUUGUCAGCUUUGAUGACAGAGACUCCGGUGAAUCGCAUGAGUGCUAAGUCCGAUUGAAUGAUUAUCCCUGUGGAUGGACUAACCCGUUUAUUCUCAUGGAUUGAAUGUUUAUUAUGAGUAUUGUUUACUGGUGAAUUUAAAGCCCUUUCUGCGAUGUUGCUCAGACGUCCGACUGUGGCAUUUCUUUUAAAGCCCUUUCUGCGAUGUCGCUCAGACGUCCGACUGUGGCAUUUCUUUUAAAGCCCUUUCUGCGAUGUCGCUCAGACGUCCGACUGUGGCAUUUCUUUUAAAGCCCUUUCUGCGAUGUCGCUCAGACGUCCGACNNNNNNNNNNNNNNNNNNNNNNNNNNNNNNNNNNNNNNNNNNNNNNNNNNNNNNNNNNNNNNNNNGUGGCAUUUCUUUUAAAGCCCUUUUUGCGAUGUUGCUCAGACGUCCGACUGUGGCAUUUCUUUUAAAGCCCUUUCUGCGAUGUCGCUCAGACGUCCGACUGUGGCAUUUCUUUUCAAGCCCUUUAUGUGGUGUCGCUAAGAUGCCCGACUGUGGCAUCAUUUCCUUAUUUUUAUUUGUUCACCUUUCGAGGCGUCGCUCCAGACACCCGGUCGGUCUUUAUUUAUGCUCUGUGGGAUUUCAGGCGGACUACCGCCGUUUCCCUUUUUACUUACCCCAUUAUGCCAAUUUUUAUUUAUUGUGCAUUAAGGAAUUAAUCAUGUUGCAUCCAUGCAUGCAUUUGUUAUAUCUUACGUCCGAACUGUCUUGCGAGUACUUUCAAAGUACUCACUGGCUUGUUGAUUUGGCCAGAUGCUGACGAUGGCGAUCUCAUGGAUGAAGAGUUCGAUAGCGAGUCCGACACUUAGAGGAGUCCCAGUCAGUCUCGUGCGACCCUGGAUUUGGUCACUGUUUUAUAUCCGCUUCCGCUACCAAAUAAAUUUAUCGAGCCUCACCUCAACGUUCGAUGAAAUGAUAGUCUUAGAGUUUUGUAUUUCCCUUCCCGCUGUGUUUUUCCUCCACCAACCUAUCCAUGAGUCAGUAGUAUGUCUCCACACCACUGUGUCCUGUCCGCCAUUAUGUAUGAUUAUUGGUGUGCUUGUAAUAAUUUGGUUGAGCGACCGCAGUUCAACCCUGUAAUAUAUUUUAUGCUACUGGCUUAUUGUAUCAAGAAAUUGUCUACCAGUGAGGAGGAUUUCUCUCAUACUGGACUCAAAAGACUGGUUAAUCAAUAAAUAUUUUUAUUGGAAAACCGGUCAUGACAAGCUUGGUACCAGAGCCAGGCUGACUGUAGGAAGCCACUAGGUGCGAUCGCUAAUUAGUUAUUAGCAUGACGGAGCUAUUUUAUGUUUUUGCAAUUGUAGUCAUUUUCUGUCAGUUAGCAUAAAUUUAUGAUCUGACCCUGCAGAAUUUUUGCCUACUUUUGUAGAUGGCCGACAACAGCUGCGAGUCUCAGACCUUUGCCAACGUGCCCGAUGGGUUUGUCAAGCUUCUUUCUUUCAUCGUUCGGGUCGCGAUGGGGCCAUCCAUCCGCCCAGUCUUCACACUCUGCCAGCACCGAGUCAACGACAGUCUGACCAUGCACCAGGCCGCGGUGCAGUUCAGGGGAGGGCGUGGUGAGUUACGCCGCUUCCGGUUCAUGGGAAGAGCCAUGCCUACGGAGAGGCAUGCUAUGCAGAUGGCAGCCCGUGAGGCGAUAGCUCGUCUCAGGGAUGUCCUUCCCGUGAUGAAGACUCGUCGUUACCGUUAUCUUCCGUGCCAUGUGCCUUACCACCUGUCACUACGCAUACUCCUGCCCCAGAGGAGAACGAGACGAGGCUUUUGAGAUGCUCAUUGAGUAUCUCCGGGCCCUGGAGGCAGCCUUCGACAACCUGGUGGACGACUUCGUAGCUACCCGCAUGGACUCAGUCCAUGGCUGUGCUGCCAACAGGAGGGAGCUCCUACCCAUUGCUCCGCCACCGACUUUUGUCUCGUCAUCAGCAUCUUUUACGCCUACUCGUCGCCUGCCUUCUACCGAAGAAUUUAACCAAGUCAUUGCACCCACUCCAGCGCGCACUACACCAACCUUCGCGCCCACUCCUGUACGUGUUGCUCCGCCCCUGGCAAGCGCUCCGUCCGCUCUGCGCAACACUACACGUAUGGAGCCCAUUAGCGAGGAGGAAGUCGAGUCCCCAACCUCGCUACGCCUCGCCCUCGGCAGGGCAAAGGAGGUCGUCAACAUCUCUGCCUGAGUACGCUUAGCUGCCAUGUAUUGUACCACUUUGUAAGAUAUGUGCAUAGGUUGUGAGAAGUAGCUUGUUUGCGCAUCAUGUAGGAUCUGGAGAAGUGCACUAGCCUUAAUAACAUGUCAGGAUUAUGUACGCAUAUCCUGAGUGAUGUACUGUAUAAUUACCGCCCGCGUGUAAGAUGUGUAAUGAGCAGUCCUUCUCCGUGCGCAAGUCGAUUUGUUUUUCUUAAGUAAGCUUGGGUAUUUAAUUAUAUCUGCCAGCUUUAUGCAUUUAUGGUUUUAUUUUUUUGUGACUCUUUCCGCUUUUCUUAAGAGUUUUACAAAAAUAUUUUUUUUCCCAGAGUGAAAAAUGUCUUGUCCUUGGACACGUUCCAUGCCAACUCCACCAGAGGAAACUCAUGAUACUCAACCCAACAAUGAGUUCACUCAGGGACAGUCAAGCCAACAAGGCAGUGAAUCGGCACUUUCACAAAUGUGCCGCCUUUAUGAACAGAGUCAGCAAAAACAUCGCGAGAUGAUGAACCAAGUCAUCAACAUGGGGAAUCAUCAUGGACAGUAUCAGCAACAUUCCAAGUUAUCUGAGCUACAGAAGACACGUCCUCAAACAUUUUCUCACACGGACAAGCCUCUUGAAGCCGAGGACUGGCUUCGAGAUAUGGAGAGGAAAUUAAUUAUUGCAAAGUGUUCAGAUCUCGAGAAAGUACUAUAUGCUCCACACUAUCUCACAGGAGCAGCCGCAUCGUGGUGGGAGAAUUUUCUGCACAUGCAUCCCAACAAAAAUGACAUAACCUGGGAUGAUUUCAAGGAAGGUUUCCGUGGUGCACAUAUUCCUAAGAGUAUUAUGAAAAUCAAGAAGAGAGAAUUCGAUGACCUCAAACAAAGGAACAUGACAGUGUCAGAUUACAACAGUCAAUUUACCCUAUUAUCCCGCUAUGCCAAUGAGGAGCGUAUGACUGAAAUCAAGAAGAUGGAGAAAUUCCUUGACGGUCUGGCGCCCGCGCUUAAAUGCCAACUGGUCGUGCACACUUUUCCUAAUUUUAAAACGCUGGUGGACAAGGCCAUUACUCUGGAAAAUGAGAGACACAGUCUGGAAGAUAUCCGCAAGCGAAAAAGGGACCAGACUAAUCACACUCGCAAUCACCGAAGCAAGAUAGAUUUUAAAAAGGGUGGGACACCCAAAUUCUCAUCCAAUGUCUCACGCCCAAUCAAGAAUUUUCAUGCAAGGGACAAGGAAUUCACAUAUCGCCCCGGCGUUACUUGUUACGCUUGUGGAGAAGAAGGGCAUUAUGCCAAACAGUGCCCCAAGCCAAGGAACUCAACCCCAAAGCCGAACAACGGCGGCAAUAAUUCAGCGCCCAAGCGAAACAAUUUCAAUCCCAAGAAUAACCACAGGAAGGGUCAUCUGAACCACGUAACCAAAGAGGAGGCACAAAAUGCUCCGGAUAUCGUACUCGGUACGUUUCCUGUCAACACAAUACCUGCAAUGGUUUUGUUUGAUUCUGGAGCUUCUCACUCUUUCAUCUCGAAAAGUUUUGCUUUGCAAAAUAAUUUUUCGAUGCUUCCUUUGGAGAAAUCCAUAAUAAUCAAGUCCCCCAGGAUUCAGCAAGUUUCUCAGAAUUACUGUCAGAAUGUGGUCAUUGAGUUUGAAGGAUUGGAGUUUUACGCAAAUCUUAUUGUAUUGGAAAAUAAAGGACUGGAUGUCAUCCUAGGGAUGGAUUGGCUAACCACCAAUAAAGGUUUUAUCGACUGUUUCAACAGGACCGUGAUUCUCACACACCACCAAGGGAAGACAAUAAGAGUAUCAGCCAAGGAAGGAAAAAGACCCCGGCAACCGAGAUUAAAUAAGGUGGACGUUUCUGAGCUAAAUGAGGUUCCAGUAGUGUGUGAAUUUCCAGAUGUAUUCCCUGAAGAGCUGCCAGGCAUGCCACCAGACCGAGAAAUAGAAUUCCGCAUUGAGCUAGCACCAGGGACCACCCCCAUAUACAAGAAACCAUACAGAAUGGCACCAUCCGAGUUGAUCGAAUUGAAGAAGCAAAUAAAGGAAUUAUUGGAAAAAGGAUACAUUCGAGCCAGCUCCUCACCUUGGGGAUCACCAAUUUUAUUUGCCAAGAAGAAGGAUGGAACGCUGAGAUUGUGUAUCAACUAUCGAGCACUUAACAUGGUCACAGUCAAAAACAAAUACCUGAUGCCAAGGAUAAACGAUUUGUUUGAUCAACUUGCUCAGGCCAAGGUAUUCUCAAAAAUUGACUUAAGGUCGGGAUACCAUCAAUUGAAGGUACGAACGGAAUAUAUCCCCAAAACAGCCUUCACCUCCAGAUAUGGACUGUACGAGUUCACAGUGAUGCCAUUUGGAUUAACUAACGCCCCGGCAUAUUUUGUUCACCUCAUGAACAAAGUAUUUAUGAAGUUUAUGGACAAAUUCGUCGUAGUAUUCAUCGACGAUAUUCUGGUAUACUCCAGAACACCAGAAGAGCAUGCAGAACAUCUCAGGAUUGUACUAGGAGAGCUAAGGAAACACCAAUUGUAUGCCAAGUUCAGCAAGUGUGAAUUUUGGCUAAGACAAGUAGGUUUCCUAUGCCACGUGCUGACUCAAGACGGUAUAGCAGUGGACCCAGAGAAAGUCAAGGCCGUACUUGACUGGAAGUCACCAGCCAGCGUAACAGACAUACGAAGUUUCUUGGGAAUGGCAGGAUAUUACCGCAGAUUUAUUGAAGGAUUUUCCACCAUAUCCAAGCCUAUGACACAGUUACUCAAGAAAGAUAAGAAGUUUGAGUGGACAGAAGCCUGCGAGAAAAGUUUCCAAGAGCUAAAGCGGAAAUUAACAACAGCACCGGUAUUAAUUGUACCCGAUAUACACUAAAAUUUUGAAGUAUUUUGUGAUGCAUCCAGAAAGGGUCUCGGAUGCGUGUUGAUGCAAGAAGGCAAGGUUGUCGCCUACGCUUCAAGGCAACUUCGCAAACACGAGGAAAAUUAUCCCACUCAUGAUUUAGAAAUGGCAGCAGUUAUUCAUGCACUCAAGGAAUGGAGGCAUUUCCUACUUGGGAAUCGAUGUGAGAUAUAUACGGAUCACAAAAGCCUCAAAUAUAUUUUUACGCAGCCAGAACUAAAUUUACGGCAACGCCGCUGGUUGUAAUUGGUAAAGGAUUAUGAUGUUGGUAUCCAUUACCAUCCAGGGAAAGCAAACGUAGUGGCCGAUGCCCUGAGUCGGAACCCCAGCUCCGACGGGAACUAUCUGCACAGCUUGAGGCCCGAAUUCCAUCAAGAAUUUGUCAAGCUCAACUUGAUAAUGGUAGCAGAAGGCACCAUAUCAAACUUGGAAAUACAACCACACCUUGUGGAGAAAAUUAAAGAGGCUCAGUCCGGUCACCCCAGCAUUGAAGGAAUUAAAAGGAAGUUGAGUAUGGGCAAGGCCUCGGAAUUCGUCAUAGACAAUGAAGGAAUAUUAUGGUACGGAGAAAGGCUAUGCGUGCCAAACAUAUAAGACCUUAAACAGCAAGUUUUAACUGAAGCACACACCACUCCAUAUUCGAUCCACCCUGGAGGAACCAAAAUGUAUAAGGAUAUUCAGGAAAGAUUUUGGUGGCACGGUAUGAAGAGGGACAUAGCCGCCUUCAUUGCAUGUUGCGACUCAUGUCAACGCAUAAAAGCUGAACAUCAGAGACCAGCCGGACUACUGCAACCCAACAUAAUACCUGAGUGGAAAUGGGAUGAAAUAGGGAUGGAUUUUAUUGUCGGAUUACCUCAGUCACGACACGGGAAUGAUGCCAUAUGGGUCAUCACUGACAGGUUGACCAAAGUGGCACACUUUAUUCCAGUGAAGACAACCUACACCACUCAGAGGCUUGCCAGGAUUUAUCUUUCCCGCAUAGUCUGUCUGCACGGUGUCCCAAAGACUAUAAUUUCUGACAGAGGCACUCAGUUCGUCUCAAGAUUUUGGGAGCAUUUACAACAGGCUCUGGGAACCCAACUAGCCUUCAGUACCGCAUACCAUCCACAGACUGAUGGAAAAACAGAACGCGUAAACCAGGUUUUAGAAGACAUGCUGAGAGCAUGUGUCCUCACCUAUGGAACCAGUUGGGAGGACAGCCUGCCAUAUGCCGAGUUCGCAUACAACAACAGUUACCAGGCUAGCCUGCAAAUGGCUCCUUUCGAAGCCCUAUACGGAAGGAGAUGUCGUACCCCGUUAAAUUGGUCAGAGACCGGAGACAGCCGCAUCUUCGGACCAGAUAUGCUCAGAGAAGCCGAGGAAAAAGUCAAGAUAAUCAGGGACCGACUUAAGACCGCUCAAAGUCGACAGAAAAGUUAUUAUGAUCAGAAACAUCGUAGGGUCAGCUUCGAACCCGGUGAAUUCGUAUACUUGAGAGUAUCCCCGAUGAGAGGAUUGCAACGGUUUAAGAUUAAAGGAAAGUUGGCACCAAGAUUCAUUGGACCAUUUCGCAUAGUGGCACGAAGAGGCACUGUAGCCUACCAGCUAGACUUACCCGAAGACUUGUCCGACAUUCACGACGUGUUCAAGGUCUCUCAAUUAAGGAAGUGCGUAAGCAACCCAGAGAAACAAGUAUCCCAUGAGAACAUUGACGCACAGCCAGACCUCACGUAUCGAGAACGUCCCAUAAAAAUAUUAGAGGAGUCUGAAAGGAGGACCCGACAGAAAACCAUCAAGUUUUUCAAAGUCCAGUGGAGCAAUCACACCGACAGUGAAGCAACUUGGGAAAGCGAGGAUUUUCUUCGGACAGAGCAUCCACACUUGUUUAAGGAUCAGCUGAAAUCUCGGGGACGAGAUUUUUCCUAAGGGGGUAGGUGUUGUGACACUCCAAAAUUUUUAUUUGGUUUUUAUCAAAAACUUUGUGGUUUUGAGGAGAGACCUUUUUAAAUUUUUUUUUCAGAAAACCCUUCCUCUUAAAAACCUCCUUUUGCCUUGGCAAGGAUUUUAUUUCUUUCAAACUUUGGUGGUUGAUCUUUUGCAAACUUCUUCUCUGUUAGUUCCCUCUAAAUUUUUUUUGGGAGUUUUAAUUAGUUUUAUUUUUAAGUGAAGCUCUAUGAAAAUUUGGGAUUUUCUUAUCUUUGAAGCCACCCUUGGCUUUGUAUUUUUUUGCCCAUGAGAUAAAACCCCUCCAAAACCUCCCCUCCCCCUUGUGAUCAACCUAAGUUCUCUGUCCCAACUAAUCCAAACUGGUUUUGGAUUUUAUUCUAAUUAUUUCUCCCCCUCAAAUCAAUUCUGAAAAUUAUUUGGAGCCUGAGGGAUUUUCAAAGCAAGUACCCUUUUUCAUUUGAGUUUUGACCUCAAACCAAUUCCCCUGGAUUGUCCUUUGAACCCACAACUCAGAACCAUCUUGAUCCACUCCUCCUCUUUUCAAAUUUUUCAAAAUACAGUCUCUGCAAGUUUGGACCAGAUUUGCCAAAUUUGGUGAAAUUCAUAUCCACACUGCUCCAAAAAUUCCACCAAAAAUCAUGCAGCCUACUUGAGCAAGGAGAAGCCACUCCACCAAAAAAUCAGCUCAAGGAAAAAUCACCAGAGGCCAAUUUCAUUCGGUCGAACACCUUGUGGGCACUGUUACUGUUCAAAGUUCAGAAAAUUCAGUUUCAGUGUCAUCUUCCGUCCGUCAGUUUUAGUCACGCGGCCACAGUGCCCUUGGCACGUUCCUCGCCGCCUCUUCCUCUUGUCCGAAGCUUCACACGCGUGCGUGGAGCCUUCCUGGCGUCGGUAGCGCGCUGGCUCGCCCUCGCCGGCGUCUUCUGCAGCGUCGGGACCUCCCGUGGCGGCCGACAGGAGGCACACCACGGCAGAACGCCGUUCCGCGCCGCCCAUCGCUCCCUGGCUCUCCGCGUGGCCUCAUGCACGCCAGCGCACGCCCGUAGCACAGCCACCGUGGCCGGCAAGCACGGAACGCGCUCUCCGCCGCCGACGGGCCCGCGCCAUCCCCGUUCCGUCGAGCUCGCCCUUAACACCCAAACCCCGGCCAGUUUAACACCAAAACGGACCCAUUGAACCUCCGUGAUGACGCUCAACCCCCUAACCACCCCGACCGAGCACUGCGCCACCGUAAUCACUCGCCGGUGAUCCUCGUUCACGGCAACCGCCUCAGACCGCCUAUAUAAAGGGGUCCCGAGCUCACUCUCGUGCACGCAGCACCUCCACUACUCACCAACACCCCGCCAGGCCACUAGGGGGACCUCGAGGAGGUCUCCUCCCCCAGCUCCGGCCGCCUCGCCCCGCCUCGGCCUCCAGCCCGAUUCGUUCUGGUGAGGCCAUCUCCGGCGCUCAAACCCCGUUCGUUACCCUCUCUAGCUGCCAGGAGCAUAACCCCCUCUUCAAUUUAACCUUUGCAGCCCUCUCCGACGAGCCCCUCGACCACCCGAGCCGCCGUCCGCCGGAGCAGAGCUCGCCGUCGACGUGGUGCUCGCCGACCGACUCCACCACCAUCAACUGACGCGGAAGGGUGCCCUGAGCACGGAGGUACUCUCCGAUCUCUCUGCCUCACCGUGGAUCGCCGCCGGCGACCACCGCGGCUCUCGGGCGCCGGCAAACUCUGCCGCCCCGUUUGAACAUUUGAACCUAACGGGUGGGACCCCACCGUCAGCCUCUCUGCUCUCUCUUUCGAAUCGUUUUCUGGAAGCGCCUUCGGGCAGAAUGCGUUUUCUCUUUGGGCUGGCGUAGUCGCUACCGAAGCGUUUUCUGUUUAUAUAAACUAGCCCCUGGAAAUCUUCUGUUUCAUUACAGAUAAGUCCCUGGACAAAAACCCUUAUAACUUUUAAUCAGAAAAGUAUUUUUGAUUGAUUCUUUUUCUGUUCUCUUUAAAAUUUUGUCUAGUUUUUUAUCAGAUUUAUUUGAAAAAUAUUUGGUUUACCUUCUGUGCACUCCUUGGUAUUUACGUUAGCGCAUAUAUUUUCUUUAAACCGUAGAUACCGAAGGAGGUGACGGAGCCGCGAACUUCACCGAGCUAGGCUCCGACUACUCUGAACCAGGCAAGCAUGUUUGAACUUUUGAUAUGAUGAGUGUAUUGGCAUGUUUUGUAUUUAGUUAGUUUCAUGGCAUGUUGGUGAGCAUACCGAUGAACGUUAUUUUAUGUGAUAAUGAGGUAAGUGAGUUCGAUGAUCCAUGCGUGGAUGAAUGUGAAUAUGAAUGGCCAUGUGUUGGCAUGAGGAUGGGUACGAUGGCAGUGUUGUAGCAUGCCAGUCUUACGCCAAACUAAGUGACUUCAGUGUCAAACCAUGUCGGUCCAGUACCUAUCAUUUCCUUCCUUGUACUACCACAUGUUUUCCGCAAGGAAUAUGGUUUAGUAAGUUGCAAACCGCUUUCAUGGUACACACCAAAGAGGAGAGGCCGUGAUGAUGGUUCCAUGGCCCUGGAUUAAAGCCAGUAAUCCGGUCAGGGGGCAUGGGUGUUUCCGGUUGGGACCGAGAGGGGGGCACCCCUUAGAGCGCGCGUAUAUAAAUUUGAUCCCAUGCUAUUCGAGAUUGUGAUCUCCCCGUCUCAAAAGUUUUUCUUGGACGAUGACUAGGGUGAUUCCUAGCAUCGAGAGGUAGGAUGGGUGUGUAUCGGUUAGUUGUGUUUUCUUCCGAAAUACCGUAAACGGAACUAGUCCUUCGUGACUACAGAAAUCCGUUGGCUGUGGGAAAAAUUUUGUACAAACUCUACAGAGUCAUAUAUUUCUCCAAAUCAUCUAUUCCUUGUCAAGUUUUGUUCCAUCUUAUCCUAAUCAAUUGUCAGCUUUGAUGAUAGAGACUCCGGUGAAUCGCAUGAGUGCUAAGUCCGGUUGAAUGAUUAUCCCUGUGGAUGGACUAACCCGUUUAUUCUCAUGGAUUGAAUGUUUAUUAUGAGUAUUAUUUACUGGUGAAUUUAAAGUUCUUUCUGCGAUGUCGCUCAGACGUCCGACUGUGGCAUUUAAUUUAUAGCCCUUUCUGCGAUGUCGCUCAGACGUCCGACUGUGGCAUUUAAUUUAAAGCCCUUUCUGCGAUGUCGCUCAGACGUCCGACUGUGGCAUUUCUUUUAAAGCCCUUUCUGCGAUGUCNNNNNNNNNNAUGAUUAUCCCUGUGGAUGGACUAACCCGUUUAUUCUCAUGGAUUGAAUGUUUAUUAUGAGUAUUAUUUACUGGUGAAUUUAAAGCCCUUUCUGCGAUGUCGCUCAGACGUUCGACUGUGGCAUUUCUUUUAAAGCCCUUUCUGCGAUGUCGCUCAGACGUCCGACUGUGGCAUUUCUUUUAAAGCCCUUUCUGCGAUGUCGCUCAGACGUCCGACUGUGGGAUUUCUUUUAAAGCCCUUUCUGCGAUGUCGCUCAGACGUCCGACUGUGGCAUUUCUUUUAAAGCCCUUUUUGCGAUGUCGCUCAGACGUCCGACUGUGGCAUUUCUUUUAAAGCCCUUUAUGUGGCGUCGCUUAGACACCCGACUGUGGUAUUUCUUUUAAAGCCCUUUAUGUGGCAUCGCUCAGACGCCCGACUGUGGUAUUUCUUUUAAAGCCCUUUUUAUGGUGUCGCUAAGAUGCCCAACUGUGGCAUCUUUUCCUUNNNNNNNNNNNNNNNNNNNNNNNNAUUUGUUCACCUUUCGAGGCGUCGCUUCAGACACCCGAUCGGUCUUUAUUUAUGCUCUGUGGGAUUUCAGGCGGACUACCGCCGUUUCCCUUUUUACUUACCCCGUUAUGCCAAUUUUUAUUUAUUGUGCAUUAAGGAAUUAAUCAUGUUGCAUCCAUGCACGCAUUUGUUAUAUCUUACGUCCGAACUGUCUUGCGAGUACUUUCAAAGUACUCACUGGCUUGUUGAUUUGGCCAGAUGCUGACGAAGGCGAUCUCAUGGAUGAAGAGUUCGAUAGCGAGUCCGACACUUAGAGGAGUCCCAGUCAGUCUCGUGCGACCCUGGAUUUGGUCACUGUUUUAUAUCCGCUUCCGCUACCAAAUAAAUUUAUCGAGCCUCACCUCGACGUUCGAUGAAAUGAUAGUCUUAGAGUUUUGUAUUUCCCUUCCCGCUGUGUUUUCCACCACCAACCUAUCCAUGAGUCAGUAGUAUGUCUCCACACCACUGUGUCCUAUCUGCCAUUAUGUAUGAUUAUUGGCGUGCUUGUAAUAAUUUGGUUGAGCGACCGCAGUUCAACCCUGUAAUAUAUUUUAUGCUACUGGCUUAUUGUAUCAAGAAAUUGUCUACCAGUGAGGAGGAUUUCUCUCAUACUGGACUCAAAAGACUGGUUUAUCAAUAAAUAUUUUUAUUGGAAAACCGGUCAUGACAAAAAGUGCGACAAGGCACUAUAAUCUACAAGUUUCUGUCUAGAAAGUAUUGAGGAACAAGACAAGGGCAAGAAAGAAAGAGUGGAGGGAUCUACUUGAGGCUAAAGAAGAGAAGAAGGAGGGCAAAAGUGCAAAAAUGCAGAUCUGGGAGGGGAUCAAAAUCCCUAGCCGCAUCUCCAUUGCGACCAGGCCUAGCAUCUCCAUCUCCCUCACUCGACCCCUUCUCCACCUCCGGCCGCCGCCGCGGCCAGGCAGGCGUGGCGGCGCGUCACCAGCACCUCCACCAUCACCCUGCGCUUCCUGUCAAUCCAUCAUCCAACCCGCCAGCACCAACAUCCACCACGCACCACCACAUCCAACCACACCAUCCAUCGGCGCCGCCAGCCACGACCAUCUCCUUCCACCCAGCGCCAGCAACCUCCAUCCACCAGUGCAACCGCGCCUCCUCUCCCUGCUGAUUCCCCUUGCUACUCAUGCCCUGGACCAGACAAGGGUAUCAUGGAGUCUGAUCCCUAGUGAACUUCCUUACUGUCGCUCCUUUAUCUUCAACCUGUUGCUGCUCUUCUUUCCCCACGCCACUUCUGCUGCUCCUCUGCUUAAAACUGCUACUUCUUCUCUCCCGCGCCCCUUGCUGUUCCUCACUAGCUAAACCUCCGAUCUGAACCUCCUCCUUCCGCUGCUUCCCUGCUUCUUCUCUGAAUCUCCCAAACGCUGCUGCUGCUACCUUCUCUCAAGCGUCCACUUACUGCUCAGUUUCAGACUUGUGUUCCUGUAGUGUUAGAUCGGUCAUAUGUGAAUGGUGUUGGGGCAUGUGACUCUAUGUUCUUGUAUGUGUUAAUUAGUUAAAUUUGUCACUUGAGUACUGCACUUUCUGCAUAGUCGUGUUUGUUCAAUUUAUAGUUCCUGUGUUGCUCAAGUACCUGUGAUAUAUGAAUGUGCAUGUGUGUGUUUGAUUUGAAACAAUUAUAUUCUGUCAUAUAUUGUCGCUUCUUCCUACUGUCAUAUGUUUGAUACUAAUGUGUCCUCGCAUUGUAGGUUUACUUGAUAUUGACUCCUGUUUGUGUUAGUAUCUUAAUUUCUCAAGUAUUACAAAAAUACCAAAAAGAAAGUUAGUAAAAUCUGAAUCUGCCUUUGCUUAUUUUGCCUUUUCUU